GACGAACGCUGGCGGCGUGCCUAAUACAUGCAAGUCGAGCGAAGUUUUUCUGGUGCUUGCACCGGAAAAACUUAGCGGCGAACGGGUGAGUAACACGUAAAGAACCUGCCUCAUAGACUGGGACAACUAUUGGAAACGAUAGCUAAUACCGGAUAAUAGCAUUAACUGCAUGGUUGAUGUUUAAAAGUUGGUUUUGCUAACACUAUGAGAUGGCUUUGCGGUGCAUUAGCUAGUUGGUGGGGUAAAGGCCUACCAAGGCGACGAUGCAUAGCCGACCUGAGAGGGUGAUCGGCCACACUGGGACUGAGACACGGCCCAGACUCCUACGGGGGGCAGCAGUAGGGAAUCUUCCGCAAUGGGCGAAAGCCUGACGGAGCAACGCCGCGUGAGUGAAGAAGGAUUUCGGUUCGUAAAGCUCUGUUGUUAGGGAAGAAUGAUUGUGUAGUAACUAUACACAGUAGAGACGGUACCUAACCAGAAAGCCACGGCUAACUACGUG
RNAcentral lists this ribosomal RNA (499 nucleotides) under uncultured bacterium. Its description in RNAcentral is "partial 16S ribosomal RNA". It matches the Rfam family "Bacterial small subunit ribosomal RNA", at positions 28 to 507 of the family's 1533-position model. The record is from RNAcentral.